CCAUUGACCUUUGCUGUGACCUCAUAGACCUGUGCUCUGACCUUGAGGCCUGGACUCAUGUUGCUGGACCAUUAUCCCGGGGGACUUGUUCUGUACAAUGGUUAGGUUGGUAGUACCGUUUACAUUAACCUCCACAUGAUGCCACGACACAUGGUCUCAAGCAGAACAUUUCCCAUCACACUGUCCCCGUCGGCCGGUCUUCUUCCCAUAGUGCCAUCUCUUCCCCAGAUUUAUCCACAAGCUCUGACCCUAACACAGACACCACUGACCCUACAAUAUCCCAAUUGAAAUACCCCAAUCUGCAAAGCUGACCCUAAUGCAAAAAACAGGAGGGCUUUAGGACCCAGAGACGAAAACCAAGGCUGAGGAAUAGUGAACUAAGCAGCAAGUGCAACAGGAUUAGACCGGGAGAAACAAGAGCAACUACAAGAUACAGAAACAAGAACUGCAUGUAAAAGACCCAAUGACUAGGAACAAGACAAGGCUGGAACAGGGUACUAGAGAUGUACAAGACAUGCUGGAUUUCAGCUCUGCAGGCUUCAUCUAUAAUAUGCAGUUUCCCCAGAGCAGGUGCGAAGAGCUCCCCUCACAUUUUCCACCUCAGUGGCACCAUAUGAUCUGCCCAUUGGACACAAUAAAUGAACAGUCACCGCCAUAGGUUUAUGUCUCAGAAGCUUUUUACCAGUGAAGACAAAGUGAAGGCGAAGUGAAAUCAUCCUUCCUCCCUUUGAGAUCCUUCAGUUAAAAGAGAAAAGACACAAUGCAGCAAGGAAACCAUCAGUGGCCUCAUAAGUGAUCCUGGUCUGAUCUAUGAAAUCAACAAAUCAACACACAAU
This is a long non-coding RNA of Hyla sarda, 836 nucleotides long. RefSeq lists it as uncharacterized. The transcript is spliced from 3 exons. The record is from RefSeq and is a predicted model, not a curated record. NCBI's taxonomy places the organism in Eukaryota, Metazoa, Chordata, Amphibia, Anura, Hylidae.